Molecule: RNA transcript, 761 nt
Organism: Rhinopithecus roxellana (golden snub-nosed monkey)
Lineage: Eukaryota; Metazoa; Chordata; Mammalia; Primates; Cercopithecidae
Exons: 1
Source: RefSeq, a predicted model, not a curated record
ACCCACAGACGAUGAAGUAUCCAUUCUCAGCUGAUGCUUUCCAGGCUGCGCCUGGACAGCAGUGCUGGGGAACUUCCCAGGGUUCCAGGGCCCGGUGGCCUGGGGGCUGCUUUCUCCCCACUAGGUGGGCUGCAUCUGGCCCUGGCUGGAGGCCUUAUUUUCAGGGGCCAUGACCCUCUUCCCCCAGGCCCUCCCCAGCUGACCACAGCCACCGGAGAGGAGAUCGGAACACAAUUGUCUCGGGGUGCAGGGCGCUGAGCAGGACGAAGGCUCAGGGACUCUCGUAUUGGGUCCUUGGGACUCGAGAAGUGCCAGAGGGGCGGCUGCUCUGGGACUCGGUGUUCACUGGCCUUUGUUUCACUUGAUUCUGGUCAAAUCCGAGAGCAGGAAACCCGGCCCUGGCCUGGCAGCUCUGCCUCCUGUGCCCACACGCUGGGGUCUGUCUUGUCGGGAGCAGUGGGGCAGACCCCUGACGGCCCUGGUCCCCUGCCGGUCACUUUUUCAGGGACAAGAAGCAGCCAGUACCACCGCCUGAGGAGGGGCUCAGCAGCAUUGCGUGUGUGGGCCUCGUGCUGCCUCAUGGAAAAUCCCCCCAGCCGCCCUCCAUGGUGGGUUCCUGAGGGUAGGACACGUCGCCACGGUUUUGUGGGAACCACGCCCCCCUGCUGGAAUUUUUCUGCUGUUGUGAAGUAGUUUUAUCCAUUUGCUUCUCUGCUGACCUUGCCAAGUUGUUUGAGGUGGAAUUAAACACCUCCCAGACC